GUAGGUGAACCUGCGGAAGGAUCAUUACUGAGGUUUUUUCCCUGGCGCAAGCUGGGAGACACCCGACCUAUUGUCAUUUGCACGUCUGGGGAAGAACGGGAGCGUGCGGCGUUUUGUGGCUUGACUGGGAUCGACCCGAGAGGGUGGAACCGGGACGGCGCGGGCGCUGCGGCUGCUGCCCUGACGAACGAGAACUUCGGCGGAAGAGGUAGACUUGGAUCUGCCCGCCGCCGGCCGUAACGUAUUUUACUCUUGCAACGAGAAUCUGAAGCCUGAUGUACUUUAAAAAAGAAAUGAAAAGCAAAACUUUCAACAACGGAUCUCUUGGCUCUG
RNAcentral lists this unclassified non-coding RNA (333 nucleotides) under rhizosphere metagenome. Its description in RNAcentral is "partial ribosomal RNA internal transcribed spacer region". The record is from RNAcentral.